Lactuca sativa (garden lettuce) is the source of this 1044-nucleotide long non-coding RNA. RefSeq lists it as uncharacterized. Lineage: Eukaryota; Viridiplantae; Streptophyta; Magnoliopsida; Asterales; Asteraceae. The record is from RefSeq and is a predicted model, not a curated record.
UUUUUUAUUUUUUAAAUACUUGGGGCACUUUCGUAAAUAUGUUAUCUGAACUAAAAAUAAGAACACGCGUUGCCCUAGUCUCACUUUCCUUCUUCUCUUCCCCCAAUCUGCGAUUUCUAGCUCUUCCCAGUAUCUCCGAUCUGCAACCAACCGGCGACUGCCUCCGCCAUCGCCGUCGGAAGCAAAGCCCUCCAGCUCCUCCAAAGUCAUCGACGCAACAUACUUCUCCGUCCUACUGCCUGUCCGACCUACAACCCAUCAACGACAACCAGCAUCGCCUCAGUCUCUUGCCGCCACCAUCGUCGAAGUUGUUGCUGUAGCUAGUGGACCUUACCAUUGAAUCCGAUUUCAUAUUUUUUUCACUCAAGUUUUGACUCACCUAGAAAAGAGUGCAAAGAUGAAGUUGGCAUCUGGAGAGUUGAUUGGGAGCCAACCUGAGCACUGGGUUAAUGAGAAGUCUUGGACCAUAUUUGUAAGUUAUCUUUAUCCUUUUUAUGUUUUGGUAAAUUAUAGGACAAAUAUGAGAAGGCAAUGUGUGAGAAAUAUGGCCCCGACCCUAGUCAACAUCCGUUGGGUGAUGUUGAAAUAUGGGAGCAUUGUGUUGGCGGGAGAAAGAAGGGGCGAGUUUACGGGGUAGGAUCAUCAGAUCCGGGAAACGUCGUGUUGGGGACACCUUAUGAGUGUGAGCUCAUCAUCCCAUGAUUAUGCCUUAUCUCAAAAGAAGAUAAAUGAAUUAGAGAACAUGUUGGAACGAGAAGUGAAGAAACGGGAGGAAAUAGAAGCCAAUUUUGAUAGUGAGGUGAAGUUAUGAGAGGACAUGGAAAGCUGUCUUUUUGAAAAAAUGAAUGAUCUUUUGAAGCAAUUCACCGGAAGAUAAAAGGUGUGGAAUCCACGAGCUGCUAAUCAAGAAGGAAGUCUCUAUCGGUUGUUGACAAUAUUUGACUAUGGAUUGAAACUUAUAGGUUUAAUGUAUGUGAAAUGAUUGAAAUUUAUGGAUUUACUUUUAUAUUUGUUUGUUUUAAAAUAUAGAUUUUAAUUUCUUCA